AUAUUUAUAAAAAUAAAUAAAAUAGUACAUCAUCUACAUAAUAUGCUUAAGUUUGUGGAAGAUAAACACGCUAAUACGAACCUAUCGAUAAAUGAGUUGGAAAAAGUAAAACGGGAUGAGUCUUUUUGUAUUCAUACUGAAGACAAUGGCGAUCGUAACACUAACAACAUUAAAGAUAACAACAAUAAUAAAAGUAGUAAAAUCGAAUGCAAAACAAGCGAUGUAUCAUUAUAUCCGGAAAACCAACCUGUUAACAAGCUCGUAAUGCAUGACUAUAAAAAUGGAGUGCAUAUAAAGAAUUUAAAUAAUCAACACGUUUAUAAAAAAGGAAGUGAAAAUGGUUGUGACGUAAUUUGUACUAAUAAAGACGAUAUCCGAGUUGAAAGUAACAAUUGCGACACACGAGGAUACAAUCAUAUAUAUUAUGACUCAGUAUAUAUGUCAGAUACAAAUGUAUAUAACUUAGUAUCAAAAUCUUGUAUUAGUACACUUUAUAUAAGCAAACUCAACUCCAAUACAAAUAUAAUAGAUUGUGAUUUUACUUUUUCUAAUUUAAAUAACAUGAAUAAAAUAAAUACAAAUCUAGCUAAAGAGAUUUUAAUUUAUCGUAAAUUAAUAAAAAAAAUAAAAAAUUAUAAAAAAAAGAUAAUUAAUAUAUUUAUAGACUUUUAUAGUUAUGCUAUUGUUUAUUUAUAUAAAAAUAGGUUUUCUUUAAUUAUUGAAAUUUUUUUUUCUUAUUAUAUUAUGAUAAUAGAAAAAAUACAUUUAAAAAUUGUAAAUCAAAUUAAAAGUAAGACAUGCUUAGUUAGUAAUCCGAAGUUAGAGAAUUUUAUUAUUUUUUCCAAACAUAGUAGCUUAUCAUUGCGUCGACCUAAAAUCGUGAAUAAAAGUUAUAUAAAAAAAAACGAUACUAACAGGGAUUAUAAAUUCGUAUUCAAACAACAUAUUAAUAGAUCAAAUAAAAAUUUAUAUAGUAAAAGAAAAAAAAAACGUCUCUUUAGUUCUUUUUCAUUAUAUACUAAUAGUAAAAAAACAAAACAGACAACAACAACAACAACAACAUACGAUAAUUGGUGUAAUACACAAGAAUAUGAUGUACAUAAAAUAUAUGUUAAAAGAUCAAGUUAUAUUUACAGUAUAGAAAGCCACAGAAAUAACAUAUGCAUAAAUAGUUUAGAUAAAGAAGAGUUUGAGAAUAACAACAAGAAGCUGUUUUAUUCGCAUAUAUAUAAACUGGUUUAUUCGGUAAGGAGCAGCCUAUUGGAAAAAAAAAAAAAUAAAAGGUUAUUUGGUGGGCUCAUAAGAAAAGAAAGGACAAUAGAAGAGAUAAAUAGAGGAGUUUCAAAGGUAAGCCCAAUCUCAGACGCCGAAGUAAAAACUGUAGCGGGAGGAGUUUCAGGAAUAGGGGCAGGACCUGUCACUGUAGUAGUAGACAACCUAGUUGCCAAAAGUGGUAAAGAACUAACCGAACAUGCCAACGUGGAAAAAGAAAAAAAAAAAAUUUGUAUUUUUUUAAGCAAUCCCAAUGAUAUAGCAAACAUAAUUUUUCACGCUUUAAUAUCAAAGGAGUAUAAAUCUAAAUUACGAAAAAUUUAUGAAAGUGAAAAAGAAAAGGUGGGAGGAGAAAGAGGAAAAAUAGAAAAUAAGAAAAACACAUUUAAUCAAGGAGAAAAUAGAAACGCAUUUAAUUAUGGAGAAAAUAUAAAUGCAUUUAAUUAUGUAAAAAAUAAAAACGCGGUCACGGUCACAAAAAAAAAGGAACUUCCCAAACUUCAUUAUAAUAAACAAAAUAAUAAAAUUCUUAAAGAGUAUGAUAUAAAUAUUAGAAAAUUUACAGAAAAUAGUGUAAAAAAACUAACGAAUAAUUUUUUAGAAAGUGAUUUACUUACUACAUUCAUACAUUGUAAUAACAACGAUGUUAUAAAUGUGACAUUAAAUGAUGAUGUUUGUGUUUAUAUAUAUUUUCCGUUACAGUUUUAUUAUUUAAGACAAUGUUUACUCUAUAAAACAAACAUAUAUUCAAAUGAAAAAAAUAGAGUUGGGACAUGUACAUUUAAAGCAUGUGAGCCUGAGUUAAUACAAAGUGAAGUGUUUUUUUUAAAAUCGUUGAUAAAAAGUAAUUACAUACACUUUGAUAAUAAAAGAAGACAUUUUGUUAAAACUUAUGAUCAUAAAUUUAUGAUAAAGGAGAUAAAUAGUUAUGAGUAUAAAUCAUUUGUUAAUAAAUACAAAGAUUUUUUUCAAUACUUUUCAAACAUAUUUUUGAAAAAUAAAAAAUCAUUAUUAUGUUAUAUGUUUGGUUUGUUUCAAAUUGAAAUAAAAAAAAAGAAUAAAGUGAACACAAUUAAAACGUAUAUUAUUUUGGAAAAUGUCAAAAUCGAAAAAAAAAAUUCAAAGAUUUUAAUUUUCGAUAUAAAAGGUGCAAGAAAAAAAAAAAACUUACAAAAGUUGAUUAACCAAAAUAAGAGCACUUUUACUUUUUUUGAAAAAGGUGAUAAGCAUUCGUUAAAAUCAGAAAAAACAAACAAAACAGCUAACAAAACAGCAAACAUAGUAAAUGUUUCAAGAUCGGAAAAUGUAAAUGGAAAAAAAAAAAAAAAAAAAAAAAAAGACUUAUUAAAUCAUCACGGAUCUGUUGUACCAUUAAAUUUUAAACAGUUUAAAGAAAGCGCUCGAAUGGUGAAUGGUGAAUAUAAUCUUAAGAAAGUUUUGUGUGGAAGUAUACUGAGUUUGAACGUUAAGGAUAGUCGGGAGGGUUAUGAUGCCAUGUUGUAUGAGUCCAAGUUGGAUAAGAGUUGUGGUGAUGAAUUAGAUGAUAUGUUAGCGUAUUAUGAAAAUGUGGAUGACACUAACAAAUUUGAUGCUGCUUACAAAUUUGAUGUUGCUUACAAAUUUGAAGAGGCUUAUAAUUUUGACGAAAAUAUAACUAAUAAAAACGACACGGGAAGUACGAGCGACAAACUAAUACCAAGAAAGAACGGUGUAGAUAAAACAACUGAUGGUGAGCACAACGAAAAACAUAAUGACAAACAUAAUGACAAACAUAAUGAUAAAAGUAAUGAUAAAAAUAAUGAUAAAAAUAAUGAUAAAAAUAAUAAUUAUGAUCGAAUGAGCGAUUAUUGUGUUGGAAAAGUAAAACGUGAAAAUAAAAAAAUGAAAACGAUAAAUAAGGGACAGUCUAAUAUAGUUAAGUAUAAUAAUAAGUAUAGCGCCAGUAGUAGUAAUAAUAAUUAUAAUAUGUACGUAAUAAAAAACUUGUAUAAAAAUGUAAAAAAACAAAUGCUAUACGGAUUACUUUAUAAUGAUAACAGACUAAGAAAUAAAUAUCUUAUUGUAAAAAAAAAAAAAAAAAAAAAAAUAAAACAUAUGUAUUAUUAAACAGAGAACAAAACAUGGAAGCAUUAGUAAUGAAAAGUGGAAGAAAAGACGAAGACGGACAGGAAAGGCAGGACAUACAAUAUACCUUACACGGACAAGACGGGAAAGAAAGAAAAAAUAAAACGAGGACCAAACGAAUGGUACA
Piliocolobus tephrosceles (Ugandan red Colobus) is the source of this 3523-nucleotide long non-coding RNA. NCBI's taxonomy places the organism in Eukaryota, Metazoa, Chordata, Mammalia, Primates, Cercopithecidae. The record is from Ensembl.